GAAAGGAUCGGUUAAUUUGGUUAGACCGCAAAAUUGUAAAUUUUGUUUCUUUAUGAAAUUAUAAGUUCGAGUCUUAUUCCUUUCA
Molecule: transfer RNA, 85 nt
Filed under: Chrysochromulina parva
Lineage: Eukaryota; Haptophyta; Prymnesiales; Chrysochromulinaceae
Also listed under: 1 other name
Description: tRNA-Tyr
Rfam family: tRNA
About the family: Transfer RNA (tRNA) molecules are approximately 80 nucleotides in length. Their secondary structure includes four short double-helical elements and three loops (D, anti-codon, and T loops).
Source: RNAcentral